GAUGAAGAACGUAGCGAAAUGCGAUACGUAAUGUGAAUUGCAGAAUUCAGUGAAUCAUCGAAUCUUUGAACGCAUAUUGCGCUCUCUGGUAUUCCGGAGAGCAUGCUUGUUUUAGUAUCAGUAAACACCUCAACUUCCAUAUCUUUUUUGAAAUGGGAGUUGGACUUGAGUGAUCCCAACGCUUUUCCUCACCGAAAAGUGGCGGGUUACUUGAAAUGCAGGUGCAGCUGGACUUUUCUCUGAGCUAUAAGCAUAUCUAUUUAGUCUGCCUAAAAACAGAUUAUUACCUUUGCUGCAGCUAACAUAAAGGAGAUUAGUUCUUGUGCUGACUGAUGCAGGAUUCACAAAGACAGGCUUCGGCCGACUUUGUAAACUCGAUCUCAAAUCAAGUAAGACUACCCGCUGAACUUAAGCAUAUCAAUAAGCGGAGGA
RNAcentral lists this unclassified non-coding RNA (432 nucleotides) under soil metagenome. RNAcentral's name for it is "partial contains 5.8S ribosomal RNA, internal transcribed spacer 2, and large subunit ribosomal RNA". The stretch from base 1 to 120 matches the Rfam family "5.8S ribosomal RNA", at positions 35 to 154 of the family's 154-position model. The record is from RNAcentral.